CAGUUACCUGCCCAGGAGAUAUCAGUCACCUCCCCAGGAGAUAUCAGUCAGCUGCCCCUGGUGUUAUAGGGACAGGAGCUCCACGGCAUCCAUUGGUCUACACCGCACCAUGUGCCACGUCAACUCAUAUUAAUUUCACCUCAACUCCUUAAUCACUUUUUUUAGACUUGAACGCAGGGUUACAGUUGUGACCUUCGAAGAAUAUUUACGAUAAUUCAAUUCAAUUUUAUUUAUAUAGCGCCAUAACAAUACAAUUGUCUCUAGGCGCUUUACAGAGCGAUAAGUAUUUUCAAAAGUAAAUUGAACAAAACCAUUAAUUAGUAAACAAAUUCAUUGAUUGAUGGUCAUGGUACCUAAUGACCCCCUACAGUCGACUGGUUAAGGUCAGUGGCCAUGGAGGUUUUCUGGCGUUAGAUGGCACUAAUAGUGUGUUACUGCGAUGGUGGAUUCUGGGAGGUGUAGUCCAAUAGAGUGUUACUGCCAUGGUGGAUUCUGGGAGGUGUAGUCCACAGAGUGUUACUGCGAUGGUGGAUUCUGGGAGGUGUAGUCCACAGAGUGUUACUGCGAUGGUGGAUUCUGGGAGGUGUAGUCCACAGAGUGUUACUGCGAUGGUGGAUUCUGACGUUAGAUGGCACUAAUAGGUAACACUAAAAAGUUACUGCUAUGGUGGUUCUGCUUGCUGAUUGGUUGAGGCUGUGCAUGUAUCUUUUCUUUUCUUCUGCCGUUUUCACUCCGCUCCACCCACUCAGAUCCAGCCCCGCCCACUAUGAUCCAGCCCCGCCCACCAUAUCUGGCUCCACCCACACAACCCCGCCCAUCCAUAUCUUGCUCCACCCACUCGGCUCCAGCUCCGCCCCCCAGCUCUAGCUCCACCCACUCGGCUAUGGGCCUGCAGAUUCCCCACAUUUUCUGCUGUUUUUGUAAAGAAUAUUUUCCUCUUUUUUUUUAAUCAAAUAAAGGAAAUGUGAACCCAUGGUGUUGUCCGCUGGUGGUCUUUGGGAGGUGUAGUCCAGUGGUUCUCAAACUUUUUGUCCGGGGACCCCAUAAAAUCCAUUUGCCAAGUCUCGCGACCCCCCACACAUUUUGACAGGAUAUCAUAGGUCUAAAUUCAGUUUCAUCUUGAAUGAUGAGACUGCUUGCUGAGACAAUAUUAGUUUUCAUUAUCCACCCUGAUGUAGAAAACACCAUUUCUGAUAGACUAUACAGCAAGUCAAAGCCUAAUAUGUUGAUGCACAGGGCAGCA
Long non-coding RNA from Clupea harengus (Atlantic herring), 1243 nucleotides. NCBI's taxonomy places the organism in Eukaryota, Metazoa, Chordata, Actinopteri, Clupeiformes, Clupeidae. The record is from Ensembl.